CCUACGGGAGGCAGCAGUGAGGAAUAUUGGUCAAUGGGCGCGAGCCUGAACCAGCCAAGUCGCGUGAGGGAAGACGGUCCUAUGGAUUGUAAACCUCUUUUGUCGGGGAGCAAAAGACGCCACGCGUGGCGUUCCGAGAGUACCCGAAGAAAAAGCAUCGGCUAACUCCGUGCCAGCAGCCGCGGUAAUACGGAGGAUGCGAGCGUUAUCCGGAUUUAUUGGGUUUAAAGGGUGCGUAGGCGGUAUUUUAAGUUAGUGGUAAAACGUCGGGGCUUCACCUUGAUUGGCCAUUAAAACUGGAGUACUAGAGUACAGACGAGGUAGGCGGAAUAAGUUAAGUAGCGGUGAAAUGCUUAGAUAUAACUUAGAACCCCGAUAGCGAAGGCAGCUUACCAGACUGUUACUGACGCUGAAGCACGAGAGCGUGGGUAGCGAACAGGAUUAGAUACCCCUGUAGUC
RNAcentral lists this ribosomal RNA (459 nucleotides) under uncultured bacterium. Its description in RNAcentral is "partial 16S ribosomal RNA". It matches the Rfam family "Bacterial small subunit ribosomal RNA", at positions 338 to 795 of the family's 1533-position model. The record is from RNAcentral.